This 3061-nucleotide small RNA is filed under the name Pan troglodytes (chimpanzee). Its description in RNAcentral is "processed transcript". The record is from RNAcentral. Lineage: Eukaryota; Metazoa; Chordata; Mammalia; Primates; Hominidae.
AUUUGCCUUGAUGUUUUCUCUCCUUUCCUCCUAUCCCUUCUUUCUCUUUGUUUUACACUCUUUGUUGCGGUGAUGAGUUCCUUCCAGAGGAAAAACAAGAAAUCCAGAAAAGGUAGAGUACUUCAAUGUCGCAUCAGUUUUUCUUCUCCAGUUUGACACUUACCAGUUCCCAUGCUCAUUUGAAUUAAGGUUCUGUUUUGCUAGCUGCCUCCUGGAUUGUAAUUCUGGUCCCCAUCUAAGGCCAGGAUCAUCAGACACCUGAAAAAUAAUCACGUUCACCCUGAGAGCAAGGGAAGAGAGACUUUUCUCAGGAUAAAAGGAAAUCCAGACAACCAACACUGCAGAGAACAGAGCCUGAUCCCCUAAGCAACCUGCCGAGAACCAGAGGGACCAAAUGAGGAACCUUACUGCAGUUUAUCAUUUGAAAUGCUUUGUAGGAAGAGGGAGGUGAGCCUGGCAUUUGCUAGGAACCAGAGUGGAACCGGCAAAGUGGCCAGCAACAGAGUCCUGAUCCAAAUGGAGAAAGGGAACCAGGCGUACCUCAACCUGGAGUGGGAAACUUGAUAGGAGUUUGAAUCAGCUUGGGUACUGACAAAUAUUGCUUCAGGAAAUUCUCUUCAGACCCGGAUUGUGAUUCAGGCAGGAGCUGUGCCCAUCUUCAUAGAGUUGCUCAGCUCAGAGUUUGAAGAUGUCCAGGAACAGGCAGUCUGGGCUCUUGGCAACAUUGCUGGAGAUAGUACCAUGUGCAGGGACUAUGUCUUAGACUGCAAUAUCCUUCCCCCUCUUUUGCAGUUAUUUUCAAAGCAAAACCGCCUGACCAUGACCCGGAAUGCAGUAUGGGCUUUGUCUAAUCUCUGUAGAGGGAAAAGUCCACCUCCAGAAUUUGCAAAGGUUUCUCCAUGUCUGAAUGUGCUUUCCUGGUUGCUGUUUGUCAGUGACACUGAUGUACUGGCUGAUGCCUGCUGGGCCCUCUCAUAUCUAUCAGAUGGACCCAAUGAUAAAAUUCAAGCGGUCAUCGAUGCAGGAGUAUGUAGGAGACUUGUGGAACUGCUGAUGCAUAAUGAUUAUAAAGUGGUUUCUCCUGCUUUGCGAGCUGUGGGAAACAUUGUCACAGGGGAUGAUAUUCAGACACAGGUAAUUCUGAAUUGCUCAGCUCUGCAGAGUUUAUUGCAUUUGCUGAGUAGCCCAAAGGAAUCUAUCAAAAAGGAAGCAUGUUGGACGAUAUCUAAUAUUACAGCUGGAAAUAGGGCACAGAUCCAGACUGUGAUAGAUGCCAACAUUUUCCCAGCCCUCAUUAGUAUUUUACAAACUGCUGAAUUUCGGACAAGAAAAGAAGCAGCUUGGGCCAUCACAAAUGCAACUUCUGGAGGAUCAGCUGAACAGAUCAAGUACCUAGUAGAACUGGGUUGUAUCAAGCCGCUCUGUGAUCUCCUCACGGUCAUGGACUCUAAGAUUGUACAGGUUGCCCUAAAUGGCUUGGAAAAUAUCCUGAGGCUUGGAGAACAGGAAGCCAAAAGGAAUGGCACUGGCAUUAACCCUUACUGUGCUUUGAUUGAAGAAGCUUAUGGUCUGGAUAAAAUUGAGUUCUUACAGAGUCAUGAAAACCAGGAGAUCUACCAAAAGGCCUUUGAUCUUAUUGAGCAUUACUUCGGGACCGAAGAUGAAGACAGCAGCAUUGCACCCCAGGUUGACCUUAACCAGCAGCAGUACAUCUUCCAGCAGUGUGAGGCUCCUAUGGAAGGUUUCCAGCUUUGAAGCAAUACUCUGCUUUCACGUUCCUGUGUCAGACCAGGCUACCCAGUCGAGUCCUCUUGUGGAGCCCACAGUCCUCAUGGAGCUAACUUCUCAAAUGUUUUCCAUAAUACUGUUUGCGCUCAUUUGCUUGCCUUGCGCACCUGCUCUCUUACACACAUCUGGAAAACCUCCGGCUCUCUGUGGUGGAAUACCCUUCUAAUAAAAGGGUAACCAGAACGGCCCACUCUCUUUUACGGAAAAAUCCCUAGGCUUUGAAGAUCCGCACUUACGUUAGAGUUAUGGGAAUAUACACAUAUUAAUGUGGCUCCCUUUUUCUUGUGGGGGAAUAAAAGAGGACUCCUCCUCAUUCCCUUUAACAUGGGGGAAAAAACUGACAUUAAAAGAUGAGACUAAAUCUUUAUCUUGAAUUUUACACAACUACUUACGACAAGGGAGAUGUUUAGACCUGUUGUGUAUACUUCAGAGUACUUUUCAUGAGUUCUUCCACAGUGAACCCUUGGAUUACCUGGUGGCUUUUUCUAGCCAGAUUUGCAUUAAUCCUUACUGAGAUUGGAUGGUUUUCUUUCCUCUAUUGGCGCCAUUCUUCAGAUAUUAAAGUUAAACCAUCCACUCCCUCACCUUCAGCCUUCAGUGAAUGUGCUUUCUAGUUGUCAGGAAUGCUGAAGAAUUAACACUUUGACUCCUAAAUGUGAUACUGGUUUGUAGAUUCCCUUAGAGCAGAAAGGAGAGGGGCACAUAUUAAUUUGUAUCGCUUUUGCUUCUCUUUGGUCUUUUGUGUCUUAGAAUUUGGAAGUGGUUCAUUUCUGUUGCUGGUAUGAGGAUUUCGAAUACUUAGUAAUCGAAAACCAUAUCCUGUAAUUUAAUAAAAAAAAACUAAGGAAGAAAAAACCCUCCAAUUUUCCCAAAUGCAAUCAGUGUAACUAGGGGCUGUGUUUCUGCAUUAAAAUAAAUGUUUCAGGCUUUGUGGUCCUGAUCAAGGUCCUCAUUAAAAAAUUGGAGUUCACCCUAGGUGCUUUUCCCCUCUGUGACUGGCAGAUAACACAUACUUUUGAAAGUAACUUUGGGAUUUUUUUCUUAGGUGCAGCUUGAUUCUAAUCUUUUCAUGCUGCACACGAUUCCUUUAAUGUAGCAUCCUUAUCUGAAAGAAAUAACCAUCUUCUCAACAUGACCUGCUUAACCCAAAUAAGAACAGUGAUCUUAUAACCUCAUUGUUUCCUAAUCAUUUUAUUUCAUCUCCUGCUAGUACUGUGCCGCUUCCCCCUCCCCCCACACAAAAUAAAAACAGUAUCUGCCUUCUGGCUCAUUU